This 520-nucleotide small RNA is filed under the name Pongo abelii (Sumatran orangutan). RNAcentral's name for it is "processed transcript". Lineage: Eukaryota; Metazoa; Chordata; Mammalia; Primates; Hominidae. The record is from RNAcentral.
GCGGCCGCUGCAGCUGCGGCUAGCCCGGGCUACCGGCUGAGCACCCUCAUUGAAUUUCUGCUGCACCGGGCCUACUCGGAGCUUAUGGUGUUGACGGACCUACUGCCAAGGAAAUCUGAUGUGGAAAGGAAAAUAGAAAUAGUGCAGUUUGCUAGCCGGACACGCCAACUCUUCGUUCGAUUAUUAGCUUUAGUGAAAUGGGCUAAUAAUGCUGGCAAAGUGGAAAAAUGUGCGGUGAGUUAAACUUUUUAUUUUACUUUGUAUAAAAUAACUUCGAAUGUUAUGAUAGACAUAGUUUUACAUUUUAGCUUUAACUUAUCCCUGCUGAUUUGAGUGACAUGUGAAUAAUCGUAUUUCUGAAUGAUAAUGUAUAUUUCUGCAGAAACUUAGUAUUUGUUUGUGGACACCUGAUCAGAAAGAAGAGAUAGCUGGAGACAUCAUUAUGUGAGGAGACUUUAAAUAUGAGACUGGAACUAAAGGGGGAAAAUUGUUAGUUUAUAUUCGUGCUAUUCCUUAGAAU